GUUAAGCGACUAAGCGUACACGGUGGAUGCCCUGGCAGUCAGAGGCGAUGAAGGACGUGCUAAUCUGCGAUAAGCGUCGGUAAGGUGAUAUGAACCGUUAUAACCGGCGAUUUCCGAAUGGGGAAACCCAGUGUGUUUCGACACACUAUCAUUAACUGAAUCCAUAGGUUAAUGAGGCGAACCGGGGGAACUGAAACAUCUAAGUACCCCGAGGAAAAGAAAUCAACCGAGAUUCCCCCAGUAGCGGCGAGCGAACGGGGAGCAGCCCAGAGCCUGAAUCAGUGUGUGUGUUAGUGGAAGCGUCUGGAAAGGCGCGCGAUACAGGGUGACAGCCCCGUACACAAAAAUGCACAUGCUGUGAGCUCGAUGAGUAGGGCGGGACACGUGGUAUCCUGUCUGAAUAUGGGGGGACCAUCCUCCAAGGCUAAAUACUCCUGACUGACCGAUAGUGAACCAGUACCGUGAGGGAAAGGCGAAAAGAACCCCGGCGAGGGGAGUGAAAAAGAACCUGAAACCGUGUACGUACAAGCAGUGGGAGCACGCUUAGGCGUGUGACUGCGUACCUUUUGUAUAAUGGGUCAGCGACUUAUAUUCUGUAGCAAGGUUAACCGAAUAGGGGAGCCGAAGGGAAACCGAGUCUUAACUGGGCGUUAAGUUGCAGGGUAUAGACCCGAAACCCGGUGAUCUAGCCAUGGGCAGGUUGAAGGUUGGGUAACACUAACUGGAGGACCGAACCGACUAAUGUUGAAAAAUUAGCGGAUGACUUGUGGCUGGGGGUGAAAGGCCAAUCAAACCGGGAGAUAGCUGGUUCUCCCCGAAAGCUAUUUAGGUAGCGCCUCGUGAAUUCAUCUCCGGGGGUAGAGCACUGUUUCGGCAAGGGGGUCAUCCCGACUUACCAACCCGAUGCAAACUGCGAAUACCGGAGAAUGUUAUCACGGGAGACACACGGCGGGUGCUAACGUCCGUCGUGAAGAGGGAAACAACCCAGACCGCCAGCUAAGGUCCCAAAGUCAUGGUUAAGUGGGAAACGAUGUGGGAAGGCCCAGACAGCCAGGAUGUUGGCUUAGAAGCAGCCAUCAUUUAAAGAAAGCGUAAUAGCUCACUGGUCGAGUCGGCCUGCGCGGAAGAUGUAACGGGGCUAAACCAUGCACCGAAGCUGCGGCAGCGACGCUGAUGCGUUGUUGGGUAGGGGAGCGUUCUGUAAGCCUGCGAAGGUGUGCUGUGAGGCAUGCUGGAGGUAUCAGAAGUGCGAAUGCUGACAUAAGUAACGAUAAAGCGGGUGAAAAGCCCGCUCGCCGGAAGACCAAGGGUUCCUGUCCAACGUUAAUCGGGGCAGGGUGAGUCGACCCCUAAGGCGAGGCCGAAAGGCGUAGUCGAUGGGAAACAGGUUAAUAUUCCUGUACUUGGUGUUACUGCGAAGGGGGGACGGAGAAGGCUAUGUUGGCCGGGCGACGGUUGUCCCGGUUUAAGCGUGUAGGCUGGUUUUCCAGGCAAAUCCGGAAAAUCAAGGCUGAGGCGUGAUGACGAGGCACUACGGUGCUGAAGCAACAAAUGCCCUGCUUCCAGGAAAAGCCUCUAAGCAUCAGGUAACAUCAAAUCGUACCCCAAACCGACACAGGUGGUCAGGUAGAGAAUACCAAGGCGCUUGAGAGAACUCGGGUGAAGGAACUAGGCAAAAUGGUGCCGUAACUUCGGGAGAAGGCACGCUGAUAUGUAGGUGAAGUCCCUUGCGGAUGGAGCUGAAAUCAGUCGAAGAUACCAGCUGGCUGCAACUGUUUAUUAAAAACACAGCACUGUGCAAACACGAAAGUGGACGUAUACGGUGUGACGCCUGCCCGGUGCCGGAAGGUUAAUUGAUGGGGUCAGCGCAAGCGAAGCUCUUGAUCGAAGCCCCGGUAAACGGCGGCCGUAACUAUAACGGUCCUAAGGUAGCGAAAUUCCUUGUCGGGUAAGUUCCGACCUGCACGAAUGGCGUAAUGAUGGCCAGGCUGUCUCCACCCGAGACUCAGUGAAAUUGAACUCGCUGUGAAGAUGCAGUGUACCCGCGGCAAGACGGAAAGACCCCGUGAACCUUUACUAUAGCUUGACACUGAACAUUGAGCCUUGAUGUGUAGGAUAGGUGGGAGGCUUUGAAGUGUGGACGCCAGUCUGCAUGGAGCCGACCUUGAAAUACCACCCUU
RNAcentral lists this ribosomal RNA (2180 nucleotides) under Escherichia coli. RNAcentral's name for it is "partial 23S ribosomal RNA". It matches the Rfam family "Bacterial large subunit ribosomal RNA", at positions 1 to 2207 of the family's 2925-position model. The record is from RNAcentral. Lineage: Bacteria; Pseudomonadati; Pseudomonadota; Gammaproteobacteria; Enterobacterales; Enterobacteriaceae.